Molecule: ribosomal RNA, 440 nt
Filed under: uncultured bacterium
Lineage: Bacteria
Description: partial 16S ribosomal RNA
Rfam family: Bacterial small subunit ribosomal RNA
Source: RNAcentral
CCUACGGGAGGCAGCAGUGGGGAAUAUUGCACAAUGGGGGGAACCCUGAUGCAGCAAUGCCGCGUGAGUGAAGAAGCACUCCGGUGUGUAAAGCCCUGUCACCAGGGAAGAAAAUGACAGUACCCGGACAAGAAACCCCGCCUAACGACGUGCCACCAGCACCGGUAAUACGCAGGGGGCAAGCGUUAUCCGGAUUUACUGGGUGUAAAGGGAGCGCAGGCGGGGUGACAAGUCAGAGGUGAAAGCUCGGGGCCCAACCCCGGGAGUGCAUUUGAAACUGCCAUGCUGGAGUGCCGGAGAGGUAAGCGGAAUUCCUAGUGUAGCGGUGAAAUGCGUAGAUAUUAGGAGGAACACCAGUGGCGGAGGCGGCUUACUGGACGGUAACUGACGGUGAGGCUCGAAAGCGUGGGGAGCAAACAGGAUUAGAUACCCUGGUAGUC